CCUACGGGAGGCAGCAGUGAGGAAUAUUGGUCAAUGGCCGGGAGGCUGAACCAGCCAAGUCGCGUGAGGGAAGACGGCCCUACGGGUUGUAAACCUCUUUUGUCAGGGAGCAAGGUGCAGGUCGGGACCUGCUGUGAGAGUACCUGAAGAAAAAGCAUCGGCUAACUCCGUGCCAGCAGCCGCGGUAAUACGGAGGAUGAGAGCGUUAUCCGGAUUUAUUGGGUUUAAAGGGUGCGCAGGCGGAGGCACAAGUCAGCGGUAAAAUCGCGGGGCUCAACCCCGCUCCGCCGUUGAAACUGUGUGCCUUGAGUGCGCGAAGGGUAGGCGGAAUGCGUGGUGUAGCGGUGAAAUGCAUAGAUAUCACGAAGAACUCCGAUCGCGAAGGCUGCCUACCGGCGCGCAACUGACGCUCAUGCACGAAAGCGUGGGUAUCGAACAGGAUUAGAUACCCCAGUAGUC
RNAcentral lists this ribosomal RNA (459 nucleotides) under uncultured bacterium. RNAcentral's name for it is "partial 16S ribosomal RNA". It matches the Rfam family "Bacterial small subunit ribosomal RNA", at positions 338 to 795 of the family's 1533-position model. The record is from RNAcentral.